This 462-nucleotide ribosomal RNA is filed under the name uncultured bacterium. RNAcentral's name for it is "partial 16S ribosomal RNA". It matches the Rfam family "Bacterial small subunit ribosomal RNA", at positions 28 to 507 of the family's 1533-position model. The record is from RNAcentral.
GACGAACGCUGGCGGCGUGCUUAACACAUGCAAGUCGAGCGGAAAGGCCCUUCGGGGUACUCGAGCGGCGAACGGGUGAGUAACACGUGAGUAACCUGCCCCAGACUUUGGGAUAACCCUCGGAAACGGGGGCUAAUACCGGAUACGACACAGCUUCGCAUGGGGUCUGUGUGGAAAGUUUUUCGGUUUGGGAUGGGCUCGCGGCCUAUCAGCUUGUUGGUGGGGUGAUGGCCUACCAAGGCGACGACGGGUAGCCGGCCUGAGAGGGCGACCGGCCACACUGGGACUGAGACACGGCCCAGACUCCUACGGGAGGCAGCAGUGGGGAAUAUUGCACAAUGGGCGGAAGCCUGAUGCAGCGACGCCGCGUGAGGGAUGACAGCCUUCGGGUUGUAAACCUCUUUCAGCAGGGACGAAGCGUAAGUGACGGUACCUGCAGAAGAAGCGCCGGCCAACUACGUG